AACGAACGCUGGCGGCAUGCCUAACACAUGCAAGUCGAACGAGACCUUCGGGUCUAGUGGCGCACGGGUGCGUAACGCGGGGGAACCUGCCCGUAGGUUCGGAAUAACUCCCCGAAAGGGGUGCUAAUACCGGAUAAUGUCUUCGGACCAAAGAGUUAUCGCCGUUGGCUGGGCCCGCGUUGGAUUAGCCAGUUGGUAGGGUAAAAGCCUACCAAGGCGACGAUCCAUAGCUGGUCUGAGAGGAUGAUCAGCCACACUGGGACUGCGACACGGCCCAGACUCCUACGGGAGGCAGCAGUGGGGAAUAUUGGACAAUGAGCGAAAGCCUGAUCCAGCAAUGCCGCGUGAGUGAUGAAGGCCUUAGGGUUGUAAAGCUCUUUUAGCCGGGAUGAUAAUGACAGUACCGGGAGAAUAAGCUCCGGCUAACUCCGUG
This 433-nucleotide ribosomal RNA is filed under the name uncultured bacterium. RNAcentral describes it as "partial 16S ribosomal RNA". It matches the Rfam family "Bacterial small subunit ribosomal RNA", at positions 29 to 507 of the family's 1533-position model. The record is from RNAcentral.